UUGAUUUAAAGUCUGGUCUGCUCACUGAAUUUUUAAGAGCCGCAGUAUUUUGACUGUGCGAAGGUAGCAUAAUAAUUAGUUUCUUGAUUGGGAGCUGGAAUGAAUGGCUAGACGAGAAAAUUACUGUCUCUUUUUGAUUGUGAUGAAUUUUAUUUUUAAGUUAAAAAGCUUAAAUUUUUUUAAAAGACGAGAAGACCCUAUAGAGUUUGAUUUUUGCGGUUUUCAUUAAUUUUAGGUAUUUGUUUUUAUGUGAGUUGUGAAAAUUUAAUUGGGGUGAUUGAAAAAUUGAUAAAACUUUUUUUUUAUGGGGACAAUUUUAAUUGGGCAUUUGAUCCAUUUUUUGUGAUUAUAAGAUUAAAUUACCUUAGGGAUAACAGCGUAAUCUUUCUAGAGAGUCCUUAUCGAAAGAGAGGGUUGCG
This 419-nucleotide ribosomal RNA is filed under the name Trogoderma okumurai. Its description in RNAcentral is "partial 16S ribosomal RNA". It matches the Rfam family "Archaeal large subunit ribosomal RNA", at positions 1933 to 2591 of the family's 2987-position model. The record is from RNAcentral. Lineage: Eukaryota; Metazoa; Arthropoda; Insecta; Coleoptera; Dermestidae.